This 524-nucleotide long non-coding RNA is filed under the name Olea europaea subsp. europaea. The record is from RNAcentral. Lineage: Eukaryota; Viridiplantae; Streptophyta; Magnoliopsida; Lamiales; Oleaceae.
AUCAUUUCAAUAAAAAUAAGAAAAAAAACAUUUUUAUGAUAUAAUUAGCUAGCACAGAAUCAUUGUCAGAGAAAUUAGUUUCUUAGAAAAAAAAUUGUCAACGGAAGAAUUUGAAGGGGGAGAGAGUUUAAGACACAUUACGUUCCGGGGACGACUGCUUCCAUCCAUGGAGAAGUGGGAGCGGAAGGAGGAGGAUUCGUGGUAGUGAGCUGAAUUCCGGUGAACUCGACCUCAGAAGAUCGCGCCGCCAACCACCCUUUGUUAAGAAUUCUCUUACCAAUCCCCUCCGCCAUUAACGAUUCUUCUUCUUCUACACUGCUUCUGCAAGAACUUGAUGUGAAUUCACUCAAACUCACUCAAUAAUUGGCAUUGACUGAUUUUGUUCACCGCUUGACGAGCUGAAAGUCAUGUGGAUUAGAGAUGGUCGGUGUGGACCGCGGUUGAGAUUGAUGUGUACUGCUAAAUCCUCUUCCUUUGGAUUUCAUUUGUCGUAUUGUUUACGCGGGCGAUAUUCUCUAUUGCUU